CAAUCAAAUGGCUGAAAAGGAAUGGGGUCACAGGAUUCAAAACAUGUCCCUUUAACAGAGCUGUGGUGGGAAGAAUAAUUUUCUUUUGAUAGUCUUAAGACAGGAAGGAUGAUAAAGUAUUUCUAAAAUGAGUCACCUCAAAACGUUUUCAUAUUUGUACUUAUCAUAAAAAGUAAUUUAUGGGCAAGAGGCAUGGCUCAAGUAAUAGAAUGCUUGUCUAGGAAGCAUAAAGUCCUCGGUUCAAUCCUCAGAAUUCUCCCUCUCCACCAAAUAUAAUUUAAGUGCAUCCAUUGUGUUACAAACAAAGAUUUGUGGUGAUUUCCUUUCCUUUCUCCUUUUGUCUUUUCACCCAUUAUUCAUCCAUCCAUGUAUCCAUCUGUCCUUGUGACAAAUACUAAAUGCAUGAAACUCCCAUGACUAUAAUGAUUCUUGAGGAGCAUAAACUACUAGAGGAGAUAAAAUGAACAUGAAAAUAAUUACUCAAAUCCUAGGAAUAAACCAACUAAAUGACAUGGAAGUUCAAAGAAGGAAGAAAUCUUCUGGCUAGAACAGAUGAUGUUUAAGCUGGGCUCUAAAUGGUAGGGACGAUUAUGCCAUUCAUUCCAGACACAGAGAACAAGAUGAGCCUCAGCCUAAAGGUUAGUAGGAUUUUAUAAAACCAGCAUUUAGAUCUUAGAAUUCCAGAUUAUAGGAUAAAAUCAUAAUCAUAAAAAAUUCGAACCAAGGCAGUACUUUAGUUUUCUGUGAAUCCUCUUCUUCAAAGGUAACUCUCAUUAACUGCAUACUCUAGAUUUGCCUAGAUAAUUUUUUUCUUAUCAUUGAGCCUUCAGAAUCAUUUGGUGAUGUAAAUAUCAUUGAAACUCACCUAAGAAAUGGGUUAAGUAACUUGUCUCAAAUUAUAGUUUUGUAAGUGAAAGAGUUAAGAUUUCAUCUGAGGCCCACUGCUGCUAAAAGUCGGAGAGUUUCCACUCUACCUGGUGUGAUGGAGCUAGUGGUUUAAACUGGAAUCAAAUGACUCACCCCAGCCCUGUGAAUAGCUCUUGGUUAUAGUCUUUUCUCUUGAUCUGGAGGAAAGCCAGAGAUGAGAACUCACACAUUAUCCACAUCUACUAGAAUGAGUACACAGGAAAGGUAUUUGGUUGUCUCCAGACCUUUUGGUCUAUUAUAUGCUUUAUUCUGGUCUCCAACAGAAGAUGAAUUUUAUUCUAGUAGCAGAGUAGUACUGGUAAAGUUGGUGGAAUGUUCAAGAGAAGAAGAUAUCAGACAUCUUUCUCCUCCACACUAUCGCCUUUAGCCUACCUGAUUUAGCAACCAGCUCUCUGCUUUUAGAAAAGCUAGCUGAAUUUACUUGAGCUGUCUUCUUUUGCAUCCAAAGUUGAGAUUGCUAAAGGUGCUGCCUGUGGAGCACAGUGAGAGCUGGGGACCCAAGUUCUAUGUUUGUGGAACACUUACCCCAGACGGCCAUGAACACAGCAAAGAAGACAGUAGCUCCAUUGUCAAAAAGUUUCAAGGCUUCUGCAAUAUGAAAGUUCAAGACUAGAAUCAUCAACAAAGUCUACUUCUACCUUUACUAAAGCCUCAGGUAACCACAAUGCUUACCUUACUGCACACAACACAAAGACAGUUAGCAAUACUUUAUCUAUAAUACAAUAUAUUCUAUUGCAAACACCACAGCUGAGAGAAAAAUAUCCUUUCUUACCAUAAAACUGAUCGCAUCUAUUUCCUUCUCCUGAGUAAAUCAUAUCAAUAUCCAUGCCAGAUUGAAACGAUGAAAGCAUAACAUUUUGGGGUAUUUUAUAGUUCCCUAUAAAAUAUGUUUUACCGUCCAUCAAAGAAUGUGCCAGGUAUAAACAGGUCCUUCCCUGUCAUAACAGAGUGUGAAGUAUUUCAGAUGAUUCUAAAAGCUUAUGCCUACUCUUCCUUUGAACACAGAAGAGAAGGGCACUAUUCAAAUACUGAAUGGGAGGGGAACACCUAAAGCCUAGUGAUUUCAGAUGCCAGAGAGAGGGUUAAGCUGUUCACUGGGCAUUUGGCACAACAUGAACCUGAAAGUUCUGGUGCCAUGUGGUUGGUUUUUUGCUCCCUCUCUGGGCAAUUGGUAGAGGAAGUAGUUUGUACCAUUACUGCAGGUUCUGGAAUGAGUGGUAGCUGUUACUAUUUGGGCCUAGCCAUAUCAUCUUUCCACUCAGGGAAACCUGGCUAAAAAUAGGGCAAGUCAGAGUACUUUCUUGAUCCAGAUGUGGAAACUAGGUUUCUACAAGGCAAUGGAGUUUUUCUGUGGUGGUUAUCAAUUUGGAAAUAAUGGUUAAGAUUAAAUUCAGUAGUAGGGACUUCUCUUACCUAUUACGUAUUCCGCUAGUUUCUAGUGUACACUGAUGGUACUCUUGGCCAAAUUGAACCACAGAAAACCAACACAGUAGAUUCCAGACACUAACAAAACACAACAGAGACCCUAUGAAUCCCUAGUGGAAAGUUCUUUUCAAUUCUGUUUGUAUUUGGUAGUAAUGGGAUUUGAACUCACGGUUUUUGACUUGCUAGACAAAUAUUCUGUUGCCUAAGCUACACUCCAAGCUCUUUUUGCUUUCAUUAUUUUUCAGACAGGGUCUUCCACUUUUUGCCCAUACUGUCUUGGUCCAUGAUCCUCCUACUUACAGCCUCCUACAGGGUUGGGAUAACAGGUGUGAGCCACCACAAUUGGCUAGUUUAUUGAGAAGAGGAUCUUCAUUAACAUUUUGCCCUGAGCUGGCCUUGAAUCAUGAUCCUCUUGAUCUGUAUCUACCCAGUAUAUGGAAUCAUAGCUUCAUUGUUCCAAGUAGCUUU
Perognathus longimembris pacificus (Pacific pocket mouse) is the source of this 2820-nucleotide long non-coding RNA. RefSeq lists it as uncharacterized. The record is from RefSeq and is a predicted model, not a curated record. The transcript has 4 exons. Lineage: Eukaryota; Metazoa; Chordata; Mammalia; Rodentia; Heteromyidae.